This 255-nucleotide ribosomal RNA is filed under the name uncultured bacterium. RNAcentral's name for it is "partial 16S ribosomal RNA". It matches the Rfam family "Bacterial small subunit ribosomal RNA", at positions 524 to 776 of the family's 1533-position model. The record is from RNAcentral.
UACGUAGGGUGCAGGCGUUAAUCGGAAUUACUGGGCGUAAAGCGUGCGCAGGCGGUCUUUUAAGUCAGAUGUGAAAUCCCCGGGCUUAACCUGGGAACUGCGUUUGAAACUGGAAGGCUAGAGUGUGGCAGAGGGGGGGUGGAAUUCCGACGUGUAGCAGUGAAAUGCGUAGAUAUGUGGAGGAACACCGAUGGCGAAGGCAGCCCCCUGGGCUAACACUGACGCUCAUGCACGAAAGCGUGGGGAGCAAACAGG